AAUAAGUACAAACUGUAUUCUGACAUUAGUCCUUAUUGUUUUGGAUACCAGACCCCCGUUAGAACAGAACCACUUGGGUCCAACAGGUCCACAGACUGGGUCCAUGUGUGUACCAGUUUAGACAGUU
Molecule: long non-coding RNA, 127 nt
Organism: Sphaeramia orbicularis (orbiculate cardinalfish)
Lineage: Eukaryota; Metazoa; Chordata; Actinopteri; Kurtiformes; Apogonidae
Exons: 4
Source: RefSeq, a predicted model, not a curated record